CUCGUCUCUUCACUUAUACUCUUGAUUCUUGUCCGAUUCCUAGAUCUUCAUGUGUUAGAGACCUUGGAGUUCUUGUUGAUAGUAAACUUUCCUUCAAUUCUCAUAUGGAUGCUAUUUGCACUAAAGCCUCUAGAAUGUUAGGAUUCAUCACUCGAUCUUCAAGAGACUUCCCUGAUACGCUUUCAUUCAAAAUCUUGUACUGCUCUUUAGUCAGAAGUACACUUGAAUUUUCAUCCUGUGUAUGGAAUCCUUCGUAUGACUAUUUUUCGGGUCGAAUUGAGACAAUCCAACAUAAAGCACUGAGGACCCUGGGAAGAAAGUCGGGAUCGCCAGGGUCCUCAUACAGUGACCUAGAGAGGAGGUUUUCUCUCUGCCCCUGUCUACCAGAAGAGAAAUGUACGAUAUCAUCACCCUUUUCAAUAUCCUCAACUCUUGUAUAAACACUCCCGAACUCUUACAAUCCAUUAAUAUAAACGUCCCAAGCUAUACAACACGCUCUACACUACCCUUUAAACCUCCUUUUGUGCGAAGCAACUAUCUGCAAAAUUCCCCUCUUAUACGUUUCCAGAGAUCUGCCAAUAAUCUUCGAGAUGAGAUCGAUUUCUUUAACACUACAGCCAACUCCAUUAAGUCCUACUACAACACCAAAUUUCUUUAACCUGAUUUUCACUCACUUUUCUUCUUGCUUCUUCUUUCUCGUUCUUACCUUCCUACUUUCUUUUCAUCUUAUUUGUCUACCUCGGCUUCCUACGUCUUCUCC
This 760-nucleotide long non-coding RNA is filed under the name Olea europaea subsp. europaea. The record is from RNAcentral. Lineage: Eukaryota; Viridiplantae; Streptophyta; Magnoliopsida; Lamiales; Oleaceae.